Molecule: long non-coding RNA, 664 nt
Organism: Lutra lutra (Eurasian river otter)
Lineage: Eukaryota; Metazoa; Chordata; Mammalia; Carnivora; Mustelidae
Exons: 3
Source: RefSeq, a predicted model, not a curated record
CUCUAACCUAGAACAUUUUCUGAUUUUAUUCUUUUCUCUUUGUGCCUCUCUAGACUUCAAAGCAGCAAAAAUUGAAAAAGCUCCAGAAACUCACAGCUUCCCAGUGGGAAGAAAAUCUUAGGAUGAGCUGCUCUGAAGCUAAUCGGACACACUUUUCAGGUCUCCCUAUGGGAUGGGCCCAGGAGUAUGUACUCUGGUCAAUGGACAGAAGUCUUCAACAGAUCUUCCAACAUCUGGAAUGUGCAAGGUCAGGGAAGGUCGUUUCUGGGAGGAGGUUGGGUGGUGGAAGUUUUUGUUUUUGUCUUAAGUAAACUCUACUUGAAUUGAAUUGAAUUGAAUUCUUGAGAUCAAGAAUUGCAUGCUCUACCAACUGAGCCUAGCCAGAUGCUCCAAAGGUGGUAGAACUUUUAAGAGGGAGGGAGGAAGAGACCAAAGAAGGGAGGUAGUAGAGAGGGAAAGAGGGAGGGAAAAAGAGAGGGAAAAGAGUGAUUGUUAGUUGGUUGCUCAUUUACUUAGUUUGGGCAGUGGGGAUAAAUUCUGGGUCCAAAGGUUUAGUCCAUGGAUCAUUUCUGAUUGGAAUGGAGACCCAUACCUUCCUCUCCUCCUCGGAGAGGAAUUCUUUACUUAAGUAAUUGAUAUUGGGGAAAACAACCUCUUUUGUUGU